Molecule: unclassified non-coding RNA, 343 nt
Filed under: uncultured fungus
Lineage: Eukaryota; Fungi
Description: partial contains small subunit ribosomal RNA, internal transcribed spacer 1, and 5.8S ribosomal RNA
Rfam family: Eukaryotic small subunit ribosomal RNA (bases 1-73)
Source: RNAcentral
ACAAACUUGGUCAUUUAGAGGAAGUAAAAGUCGUAACAAGGUUUCCGUAGGUGAACCUGCGGAAGGAUCAUUACCGAGUGCGAGGCUCAGUCGUGGCGUCAGCUGCGUGCUGGGCCGACCCUCCCACCCGUGUCGAUUUGUAUCUUGUUGCUUUGGCGGGCCGGGCCGCGUCGUCGCUGCCUGCAAAGGACCUGCGUCGGCCGCCCACCGGCUUCGGCUGGAGCGCGUCCGCCAAAGACCCCAUGAAAACUCAUGUUGUCUUUGUCGUCUCAGCUUUAUUAUUGAAAUUGAUAAAACUUUCAACAACGGAUCUCUUGGCUCUGGCAUCGAUGAAGAACGCAGC